ACGAAUCAAUUAACUUUCAGUUUUUUUUAAAUCCUUGACUUUUUUUCUUCUCACAAUGUCUACUAUCACCAAUCUCAUGAUCUGUUGCAGCUUAUCUAACGUACCUCAAAACUUUUUAAAGUUCAAAGCUUUAAUCCAAGCUAGAAAUCUCAACCAACAAAGUCCUUUGCAAAAAAACCUACAAUUUCUCAGUAUUCCUUAAACCCCACAACCAUAAGCCUUUAAUUCCCCUAUUUCAGCAAAAGGGUGGUCUUCGAAUAUGUCAAAGUACCUUAAAACACCCAGAAUUCUGAAGAAGAAACGGGUCAGGGUAAAGGGCUUUCCGAUGAUAAUAAUAAAGAAGGGAUUGGACAAUCUCGAUUUUGCUUCUUGUGUUGUGGGGUGUUCUCAUGUACUAUGUUUUCAAAUGCACACCUGACCAGAUCCCGCUUGAGUUUCAGAUGCUAUGUUCCGAUGAUAAUAAUAAAGAAGGGAUUGGACAAUCUCGAUUUUGCUUCUUGUGUUGUGGGGUGUUCUCAUGUACUAUGUUUUCAAAUGCACACCUGACCAGAUCCCGGUAUUUUCCAGACCCAACUUCUUCUUCUUCUUGUUUUCUUCAAAUUGUAAAUGAAUUCUUGUGUCUCAGAUUUGGAAUUGAGAUGGAAUUUAGUAAAGCGGCUAUAUCACUGCUCAAAAUAGCUUGUUUUUUCUUGGAUGCUUUAGGAUUCUGAUUUACUUGCUGUAGUUGUUGUUAAUCAUCUUCUGAACUGAAAUAUUAUCGCUAAAGCUUGAGUUUCAGAUGCUAUGUUCAUUGGUUACUCAUUGUUCUCCAGAUAAGUUUCUGCAUUCAUUUUUGGCGUGUCUUUGUUUUGCGUGCUAUUUAUAACUUCUUAAUGAAAUGUUAAUAGGAUGCCGCUUGUUUGUGAUAUCAUAUUAGGAAAAUAGUAAAUUUAGUUUUCAAUGUCAAGUUCACGGUAGUAAAUUAUGCAUUUUAAGUUUAAGAAGUUCAAACAGCAUAUAAACAGGAUGCUAAUUGCUACAUCACAUUCUCCUGAUUAUGCUGAAGGCUGACUGGCCGAGAGUUUACAUAUUUAGAAAUUCUUAAAAAAUCAAUUAAACAUUUGCAAUGAAUAGUUAACUCGAAUGUGAACUCGUUGCAGUCAAGGGACGUGUAUUUUUUAAAAAAGCUCCUGAUUUUGAAGGGAGAUGAUGGUUUUAGGAUGAAUAAAGUGCUUGUCUCACUAUGGUACAUCAUGGGAUUGUGGCCAUUAGUGUACAGCAUGCUGCUGCUUCCAACAGGCAGAAACUCAAGUAACAACAUUCUCACCUGGCCUUUUCUAGUACUUUCACGCUUUGGUGGUGCAUAUGCUCUUUUACCAUAUUUUGUUCUUUGGAGUCCACCAUCACCAGUACUUCAGGGAAAGCAAAUUUGUAAGAUUGUAGAUCUUUUGAGUACUCAUGAUUGUUUGUGAUUGUCUUGUCAGUAUGUUGUUAUAAUCUCAUGGAAAUUGAAAUAUCUUCAUGCCGGGAAUCAAAUCUCGAUGUUGCAGAUUCACAUCAUGACCCUGGAUUUUACACUACCAAGGUUUACAAUAAUAUGACUGCCCGUAAGGGGUAAGACAAAAGAGAGACUAUGAUGCUCUUGCUUUGAAUCAAAGGUUCAAAACCUCUAAGAAAAGAUUAUAUGGCAUGACAAAGGUAUCGGAAUGCUUUUCCUAUUUGCAGGUACAACAAUGGUUUUUAGCUUCUUCCCUUAUCAUUGGUGCCAUUCAUAGGUCCCGCUCUUUAUCUUGUCUCACGGCCAUCACUGUCAGAUUUGCUAGUUACAGUUAGCAUGACUACGCCUUAACAAAAUUAGAAUUUAAGCUCCUCUUUUUCUUCUGGUGAACAUAUACCGACCUUGGAAAGAGGAAAGCUCAUAGUCUGAACAAGACAAUAGAAUUGAUAGUGAAUGGUGGCGCCCGACGAAAUGCAGCCGAUGCCACUUGAUAAAGAGUUUAUUCCUCUUACAGGUGCACCAGAAAAUCAUCACAUGAUAGUUUCCCACC
Molecule: RNA transcript, 2027 nt
Organism: Hibiscus syriacus
Lineage: Eukaryota; Viridiplantae; Streptophyta; Magnoliopsida; Malvales; Malvaceae
Exons: 3
Source: RefSeq, a predicted model, not a curated record